RNAcentral lists this ribosomal RNA (429 nucleotides) under Bacillota bacterium. RNAcentral describes it as "Firmicutes bacterium partial 16S ribosomal RNA". It matches the Rfam family "Bacterial small subunit ribosomal RNA", at positions 355 to 776 of the family's 1533-position model. Lineage: Bacteria; Bacillati; Bacillota. The record is from RNAcentral.
UGGGGAAUUUUGGACAAUGGGGGCAACCCUGAUCCAGCAAUGUCGCGUGUGUGAAGAAGGCCUUCGGGUUGUAAAGCACUUUUGUCCGGGAAGAAAUCGCACCUGAUAAUACCGGGUGUGGAUGACGGUACCGGAAGAAUAAGGACCGGCUAACUACGUGCCAGCAGCCGCGGUAAUACGUAGGGUCCAAGCGUUAAUCGGAAUUACUGGGCGUAAAGCGUGCGCAGGCGGUUGUGCAAGACCGAUGUGAAAUCCCCGGGCUUAACCUGGGAAUUGCAUUGGUGACUGCACGGCUAGAGUGUGUCAGAGGGGGGUAGAAUUCCACGUGUAGCAGUGAAAUGCGUAGAGAUGUGGAGGAAUACCGAUGGCGAAGGCAGCCCCCUGGGAUAACACUGACGCUCAUGCACGAAAGCGUGGGGAGCAAACAGG